UACGGGAGGCAGCAGUGGGGAAUAUUGCACAAUGGGCGAAAGCCUGAUGCAGCUAUGCCGCGUGUAUGAAGAAGGCCUUAGGGUUGUAAAGUACUUUCAUCGGGGAGGAAAAACAAAACUAAUAAUUUUAUUUCUUGACGUUACCCGAAAAAGAAGCACCGGCUAACUCCGUGCCAGCAGCCGCGGUAAUACGGAGGGUGCUAGCGUUAAUCAGAAUUACUGGGCGUAAAGAGCACGUAGGUGGUUUUUUUAAGUCAGAUGUGAAAUUCCCUGGGCUUAACCUAGGAACUGCAUUUUGAAACUGAAAUACUAGAGUAUCGUAGAGGGAGGUAGAAUUCUAGGUGUAGCGGUGAAAUGCGUAGAUAUCUGGAGGAAUACCUGUGGCGAAAGCGGCCUCCUAAACGAAUACUGACACUGAGGUGCGAAAGCGUGGGGAGCAAACAGGGAUUAGAUACC
Molecule: ribosomal RNA, 456 nt
Filed under: uncultured bacterium
Lineage: Bacteria
Description: bacterial SSU rRNA
Rfam family: Bacterial small subunit ribosomal RNA
Source: RNAcentral